GGCCUAAUGGUCUAGGGUAUGAUUUUCGCUUUGGGUGCGAGAGGUCCCGGGUUCAAAUCCCGGUUGGGCCC
Transfer RNA from Orchesella cincta, 71 nucleotides. It matches the Rfam family "tRNA". From Rfam's summary of the family: Transfer RNA (tRNA) molecules are approximately 80 nucleotides in length. Their secondary structure includes four short double-helical elements and three loops (D, anti-codon, and T loops). Lineage: Eukaryota; Metazoa; Arthropoda; Collembola; Entomobryomorpha; Orchesellidae. The record is from Rfam.